GGGCAAAACAUCUGGAGUUCAUUGCCAGGACUGUGAUGUUACAGAAAAGGACCGUGAAAGGUGCGUGCGGGACCCAACACAGAAUCGUGGCCAUGAAUGGGCUCGCUGAGGACAUUCGACAUCAGCGGUGCCAUGAGAAGCCAUGCCACCAGCAACAGGGGAAAGCUACGGAACCUGCUGGCAGAUCUACAGCAUGGAGAUGGCUCCAAGGAUCAACCUCUUGGUGGAAAAGAAC
Molecule: long non-coding RNA, 235 nt
Filed under: Homo sapiens (human)
Lineage: Eukaryota; Metazoa; Chordata; Mammalia; Primates; Hominidae
Description: non-protein coding lnc-CNEP1R1-7:1
Source: RNAcentral